RNAcentral lists this ribosomal RNA (264 nucleotides) under uncultured bacterium. Its description in RNAcentral is "partial 16S ribosomal RNA". It matches the Rfam family "Bacterial small subunit ribosomal RNA", at positions 524 to 787 of the family's 1533-position model. The record is from RNAcentral.
UACGGAGGGCGCGAGCGUUGUCCGGAAUCAUUGGGCGUAAAGGGCGCGUAGAUGGCCCGGUCAGUUCGUGGUGAAAGCGCGGGGCUCAACCCCGCGUCGGCCAGGAAUACUGCGGGGCUGGAGCACUGUAGAGGCAGGCGGAAUUCCGGGUGUAGCGGUGGAAUGCGUAGAGAUCCGGAAGAACACCGGUGGCGAAGGCGGCCUGCUGGGCAGUUGCUGACACUGAGGCGCGACAGCGUGGGGAGCAAACAGGAUUAGAAACCC